UCAAAACAAACAAUUUGUAUCCUUUUUUAAUAUAUUUUAUUUAUUGAUUGAUGAAAGACACAGAGAGAGGCAGAGACACAGGCAGAGGGAGAAGCAGGCUCCAUGCAGGGAGCCCGAUGCAGGACUCGAUCCCAGGACCCCGGGAUCACACCCUGAGCUGAAGGCAGACGCUCAACCACUGAGCCACCCAGGUGCCCCCAAACAAUUUGUAUCUUUGGCACGAGUUUAGAUAUGUGUGUGGUCAUAGUGAGAGACGCGUCACGGAAAUUGAAUUUGCCAGGAAAGGAAAGUGGCUUAUAGAACAGUAAAGAAUGAACGGGGCAUCCUGGCAGUCCUGGACUUAACAGGCUACCUCCUGGGGGAGGACCCUCAGCCUGCCUCAGGUCACACGGAGCAGUGGGACAAACCCCCCUUACACAGUCCUGGUUUUGGAUCCAAGCAUGUUGACUUCGAACAGGCCCCGAAGCCUCCCUCCACCCCAGCUCCCUCGGCUGACCCUGCGUGCAGAGCAACGUCCUUGCCAGUGACCUCUGGAUAAAUCCUUUUCUUCCUUGGACUCCAGCACCCUGUGAUCUUUAGUCCCUUUCAAAAUGCAGGCCAACAGCACCUACUUUUUGGCACUGUCGAAUAUGUUAAAAAAUAAUAUGUGCACAUUUCCUGGAACCAAGCGGUGCUCAGUAGCAGGGCCGUGCGAAGGUGGAGGCCGACCCGGGAGAAGUGGAGCCAGAGCAGGCAGAGAAGCAGUGAGGCUUGCGGCUCCCCCUCUCCCUUCUAUGAUGACUGGUUCCUCCGAGGAGUGGAGCAGACACUUCUCUUCUCCAAGCAAACCAGUAAAGGUUUGUAUAAUCUUUUAAAACUGUGGGCCUUUCAAUUAGUUCAGACACGGCUGCUUACUCUGCGAUGCUCACGUUACACAUUGUCCUUACGUUCACAAGUCCUAGCUUUGUCCACUUUUGUCCAUGCUCGUUCACCAAAUGUUUAUUUAACACCUACUGUGUUCAAUUUUUUCAUGCAAGAGGAAUUAUGUCUAGAUCUCUCUAACUUUUCAUUGCGUAGGAGCACAUGAAGCACAGGGCCCAGGCCCAGCACCACUCAGCUGAAAGACGGGUGGAGAGAGGACCCUGAGUACAGAUGACAUGGAUAUCAGGUCAGAAGAUUCCAGGCUGCAUUCAGAGUAAAAUGCCAACUUCUUGGUGUGGGCCCUGCUGAUGGCUCCAGGAGCUCCUCUCCCCACUCUGCACCAACUGUUCUAAGAGUUCAUACAUUGCCUUCUAGAAGCAGCCCUAGAGCUUCCAGCCCCCUCUCCAUCCCCACUGCACCUACCACAGCCGGCUAGACUGAUGCUCCUCCUAGACACCAGUGGCUAUCAAACUUUACCUGAGUCACCAUAGGACUUGUUAGAGCACAGUGCUGGGCCCGCCCCCAGACUUUCUGAUUGAGUAGGGCUGGGGUGGGGCAUGAGAAUUUGCUUUUCUAAGAAGUUCCCAGGACUGCUACUGGUGUGGGUCCAUGAUACACUUAGAGCACCGCCACUCUAGACUACCAGUUCCUUGAGGAGAAGAACCCCAAUUUCUUUUAUUGGGUUAUCCCUGGCACCUAACACAGAGUCUGACAUAUGGUAGAAAUUCAAACAGUAUCUAUUGAAUGGAAGCCAUGGGUGAACUAAUGAAUCCCUUGCCAUUUCAUUUGAAGAUUGACAAAUUGGUCUCACAGUAUAAGAAGAACCCAAGACACUCCCCCGUUAAUAUUAAGCUCCCUCGACAAACCAUAAGAGACUCUUAAUCAUAGGAAACAAACUGAGAGGCAGCUUUUUCUGCCCACAGGUCUUGUCCCUGUACUAUAAUAAAAUAUAUAUAUAUAUGUUUUUGCACCCCCCCCCCAAAAAAAAAGAAAGGAAACAAACUGAGGGUCGCUGGAGGGGAAGGGGGUUGGGGGAGAUGAGGUAACUGGGUGAUGGACAUUAAGGAGGGCACGUGAUGUAAUGAGCACUGGGUAUUAUAUAAGACUGAUGAGUCACUGACCUCUACCUUUGAAACUAAUAAUUAUAUAUGUUAAUUAAUUGACUUGAAUUUUUAAAAAUAUUAAGCUCCCUCUUAGACAGAGGCUGAGAGCCACUGCGCUGGGCUCUGAGCUACAGCAAGCUGACUAUCUGGUGCUGUUGAAAGCUGCCGUAUGAAAAUCUUACCCUUACUACAUGAAAUCCGCCCCCAGGAUCAGAGACUUGGUUUGAUUGGAGAUUAAAACAGUAAACUUUGGGCAGCCCGGGUGGCUCAGUGGUUUAGCGCCACCUUCAGCCCAGGGCGUGAUCCUGGAAACCCAGGAUCAAGUCCCACAUCAGGUUCCCUGCAUGGAGCCUGCUUCUCCCUCUGCCUGUGUCUCUGCCUCUCUCUCUCUCUCUCUCUCUCUCUGUGUCUCUCAUGAAUAAAUGAGUAAAAUUUUUAAAAAAGAUUAAAAAUAAAAAUAAAUAGUAAACCUUCUCUUCUGUUAAAUAUCUCUUCUUUGACAGUAUUCAUAUGU
RNAcentral lists this long non-coding RNA (2517 nucleotides) under Canis lupus familiaris (dog). RNAcentral describes it as "lncRNA (ENSCAFG00845019631.1)". The record is from RNAcentral. Lineage: Eukaryota; Metazoa; Chordata; Mammalia; Carnivora; Canidae.